UCACUGGUGGUUUAGCAGUUGAGGAUCCAGCAUUAUCACUGCUGUGGCGCAGGUUCAAUCCCUGGCCCAUGAA
Molecule: transfer RNA, 73 nt
Filed under: Sus scrofa (pig)
Lineage: Eukaryota; Metazoa; Chordata; Mammalia; Artiodactyla; Suidae
Rfam family: tRNA
About the family: Transfer RNA (tRNA) molecules are approximately 80 nucleotides in length.
Source: Rfam by way of RNAcentral